RNAcentral lists this non-coding RNA (145 nucleotides) under Amborella trichopoda. RNAcentral's name for it is "Bacterial large subunit ribosomal RNA". It matches the Rfam family "Bacterial large subunit ribosomal RNA", at positions 1855 to 2001 of the family's 2925-position model. The record is from Rfam by way of RNAcentral. Lineage: Eukaryota; Viridiplantae; Streptophyta; Magnoliopsida; Amborellales; Amborellaceae.
ACUCUGCCUAGAGCCGAAGGUCAAGGAAGUUGGUGACCUGGCGACAGGGGAGCCAGCGACCGCAGCCCCGGUGAACGGCAGCCGUAACUAUAAUGGUCCUAAGGUAGUGAAAUUUCCUGUCCGGUAAGUUCCAAGACAAGAAGAG